This 436-nucleotide ribosomal RNA is filed under the name uncultured Desulfobulbus sp. RNAcentral describes it as "bacterial SSU rRNA". It matches the Rfam family "Bacterial small subunit ribosomal RNA", at positions 950 to 1382 of the family's 1533-position model. Lineage: Bacteria; Pseudomonadati; Thermodesulfobacteriota; Desulfobulbia; Desulfobulbales; Desulfobulbaceae. The record is from RNAcentral.
UUCGAUGCAACGCGAAGAACCUUACCUGGUCUUGACAUCCCGGAGACCCUUAGGAACUAGGGGUGCCUCCAUCUGGAAGAAUCUGGAGACAGGUGCUGCAUGGCUGUCGUCAGCUCGUGUCGUGAGAUGUUGGGUUAAGUCCCGCAACGAGCGCAACCCUUGCCUUUAGUUGCCAGCAGUUCGGCUGGGCACUCUAAAGGGACUGCCGGUGUUAAACCGGAGGAAGGUGGGGAUGACGUCAAGUCCUCAUGGCCUUUAUGACCAGGGCUACACACGUACUACAAUGGCCGAUACAAAGGGCAGCGACACUGCGAGGUGAAGCCAAUCCCGUAAAAUCGGUCUCAGUCCGGAUUGGAGUCUGCAACUCGACUCCAUGAAGUUGGAAUCGCUAGUAAUCGUGGAUCAGCAUGCCACGGUGAAUACGUUCCCGGGCCUU